AACUCUGGAGAGAGACCGGCUGCGGCCGGUCCACCGACGGGGCAAGCUUGACUCGGGGUCAUUUCCCAUUUCAGGUCCAUCUCUCAGGUACCGGACAGAGGAGG
RNAcentral lists this non-coding RNA (104 nucleotides) under marine eukaryotic metagenome. RNAcentral's name for it is "Glycine riboswitch". It matches the Rfam family "Glycine riboswitch aptamer", at positions 9 to 86 of the family's 94-position model. Rfam says of the family: This family represents the bacterial glycine riboswitch. Glycine riboswitches usually consist of two metabolite-binding aptamers domains with similar structures in tandem. The record is from RNAcentral.